This 216-nucleotide unclassified non-coding RNA is filed under the name Hevea brasiliensis (rubber tree). Lineage: Eukaryota; Viridiplantae; Streptophyta; Magnoliopsida; Malpighiales; Euphorbiaceae. The record is from RNAcentral.
GAUGUAAAUAGUGCUAUGUAUGAUGUGAUGUGAUCGAUCGUGCAUAUUCAGCACAAAUCAAUUAAUUGUUAAUUUUGUAUCAAUUAAAUCUACUAUCCAUUAAAAAAUAAUUCCACUCUAUGAAAGUACAUGAUUUUUUUUGUCUUGAUUUUGUUCUUAGUAUUCAAGUAUAAUUUCAAAAUAUGAAAGAAUAUGAAACACAAGAACAAAUAUUUU